GAUUCAUGUGUAAUACACAGAGAAACAAUCUACUUUUAUCACAUUACUACUCUUUUUUUCCCCCAAGGCCAAAUGUUUGGAAUAACAGCGGUUGAAUGUGGGGGAACUCCCACACCUGUAUGCGCAGGUGUUCACGCACACUGUCAGAUUUGGAGGCAGGGCUCUGCUGGCCUCACAAGAUAUGUGGUUAUGAAAGAAGGAUUCGGAACUAUACCAUGUACAGACAAGCAUACAGCACGCAGCCCAUCUAUAAGUGCUGCCCGGGUCGGAGCCUGUGGGACCAUGAACCUGGCUGCCCACACUCUGUCUCUGCAGUGGGGACAUGUUUCAAUGGAAAGAGGUGCUCAGACAGUGAGGCCCAGUGGUGCCGGUGCUCAGAGGGUUUCCAAGGCCCCCACCGUCAAUAUGUGUGAAAAUUGUUGGACUGAUUGAGAAGUUGAGAAAGCAAGGUCCUCCUUUCCGUCUCCUUACCCCGGUGGCUCUGUCCUGCUACCUUUCCAUGUGAGCCUCCAGCGUAUUCAUCUUCUGAAGCCUGGACAGAGCCCUUUAAGACAGGGUAUAUCUGGGGUUGGCAGAGGUAAGAUUGUUAUGUGUGUGCCUCUUUUUUAGUGAACCUAAACACUGCCAAUUGCAUUACUCCUGUGCAUUUUAUCAAUGAAGAGCCUGACUCUUCACUUCAUUAAUAUCCUUCCAAAGCCAUUUGUUGAGGGAUUUUAUUGCUUUUGUAUAAGUGUAUGCAUUAAGUAUUUUUCUCCACUGAAAUUCAUUUAUUCCUACUCCUAAUAACGGGGAUCAUUUAUUUAAAUUCUAGUUUAUGUUCAAUCUUGAUCUUCUUCCAGUCUCUGGGAUUUAGUUCUCUUCCAUUCUUUCCCUUUCUAAAACAGCUAUUGCACAGAAUAUUGGACCUUUUCUUUUUUCCUUAGAAACUUAGUUAUUCCUAGUUCUGUAACCAUUUCCCAUGUGUGAUUUCUGUUUCCCUAGCUAUCUUUAAAGCUUACUGGGGAGAUGGGAAACAUGUCUUCAUAUACCUUUUGGUUAGCUUACAGAACUGAGCUUCUCAUCAAGUACACAGAAAAAUUGCAUCAAUUAUCUUAACCAAAGUUAUCUGCACCAUAGCUGUUUACCAUUCUUGGAUACAGGACUUCUUUUAGUUAGGGCUUUCUGAUUGAAGGCAACAGAAACCACUCCUAACUUUCUUAGGCAGAAGUGAGAGUAUUUCUGGGAUCUGUUGAAAGAUUAUGGGGGCUGCCCAGAAAAUUGAGGGAAAAAUUGAUAAUCUAGUCUUAGAAAUAGCAGAACAGAGGGUAGCCCUAGGGUUCCACAUAAUUGUUAUUAAUGGGCAAAGUUUUGAUCUUUGUUGUUCAAAUAUUCAAAUUCUAGAACUGACAUCAGGUCUUCUGUUCCUUAUUUGAACAAAAAAAAUGGUGGACUUUUGGACUUGGUACUGCCUUCAUGAUGGGACCAAUAAGCAGGAAAAGGCUUCAAAAAUCUCUUCCACUAUAGCCCUUAUCUUUACAUGUGCUACUCUGGACUCUACACAUCUAAAGGUGCAAUGACAUAUUAUCAGCCCAGUGAGUGUCCUUCAUUCCAUGCCAUUGUUGUUGUUUUACAUUUCUUAGCCAGGCAAACAUGCAUGUCCUCUCUAUAACUUUAGCACACUUAUAUUUAUAGAUCAUUAUAUAUUAUAUAUAGAUCUAAGUUUUUCCAUACUUAGAGAUAAUCUUUUUUUUUAAAUAUUUUAUUUAUUUAUUUGACAGACAGAGAUCACAAGUAGGCAGAGAGGCAGGCAGAGAGAGAAGUGGAAGCAGGCUCCCUGCUGAGCAGAGAGCCCGAUGUGGGGCUCGAUCCCAGGACCCUGGGAUCAUGACCUGAGCCGAAAGCAGAGGCUUUAACCCACUGAGCCACCCAGGCGCCCCCACUUAGAGAU
RNAcentral lists this long non-coding RNA (1927 nucleotides) under Mustela putorius furo (domestic ferret). RNAcentral's name for it is "lncRNA (ENSMPUG00000026616.1)". The record is from RNAcentral. Lineage: Eukaryota; Metazoa; Chordata; Mammalia; Carnivora; Mustelidae.